UACGUAGGGUGCAAGCGUUGUCCGGAAUUAUUGGGCGUAAAGAGCUCGUAGGCGGUCUGUCGCGUCGGAUGUGAAAAUCCAGGGCUCAACCCUGGACCUGCAUUCGAUACGGGCAGACUAGAGUUCGGUAGGGGAGACUGGAAUUCCUGGUGUAGCGGUGAAAUGCGCAGAUAUCAGGAGGAACACCAGUGGCGAAGGCGAGUCUCUGGGAUGAUGCUGACGCUGAGGCGCGAAAGCCAGGGGAGCAAACGGG
RNAcentral lists this ribosomal RNA (253 nucleotides) under uncultured bacterium. RNAcentral's name for it is "partial 16S ribosomal RNA". It matches the Rfam family "Bacterial small subunit ribosomal RNA", at positions 524 to 776 of the family's 1533-position model. The record is from RNAcentral.